Molecule: transfer RNA, 77 nt
Filed under: Cyanobacteria bacterium FACHB-502
Lineage: Bacteria; Bacillati; Cyanobacteriota
Also listed under: 1 other name
Description: tRNA-Leu
Rfam family: tRNA
About the family: Transfer RNA (tRNA) molecules are approximately 80 nucleotides in length. Their secondary structure includes four short double-helical elements and three loops (D, anti-codon, and T loops).
Source: RNAcentral
ACUCCUGUAGCCCAACGGAAGAGGCGACUGUCUCAAAACCAGUCAAUGUGCGGGUUCGACUCCCGCCAGGAGUACCA